This 330-nucleotide unclassified non-coding RNA is filed under the name soil metagenome. RNAcentral describes it as "partial contains 5.8S ribosomal RNA, internal transcribed spacer 2, and large subunit ribosomal RNA". The stretch from base 1 to 120 matches the Rfam family "5.8S ribosomal RNA", at positions 35 to 154 of the family's 154-position model. The record is from RNAcentral.
GAUGAAGAACGCAGCGAAAUGCGAUAAGUAAUGUGAAUUGCAGAAUUCAGUGAAUCAUCGAAUCUUUGAACGCACAUUGCGCCCCUUGGUAUUCCGGGGGGCAUGCCUCUUCCAGCGUCAUUUCACCCCUCAAGCUCUGCUUGGUUUUGGGCCGCGCCGGCAACGGCGGGCCUCGAAAAUAGUGGCGACGCCAUCGUGCUCUCAGCGUAGUAAUUCUUCUCGCUCUGGAGGUCCGGUCGUGUGCUCGCCAGCAACCCCCAAUUUUUUUCAGGUUGACCUCGGAUCAGGUAGGGAUACCCGCUGAACUUAAGCAUAUCAAUAAGCGGAGGA